This 406-nucleotide ribosomal RNA is filed under the name uncultured bacterium. RNAcentral describes it as "partial 16S ribosomal RNA". It matches the Rfam family "Bacterial small subunit ribosomal RNA", at positions 30 to 526 of the family's 1533-position model. The record is from RNAcentral.
AUUGAACGCUGGCGGCAGGCCUAACACAUGCAAGUCGAACGAGUGGCGGACGGGUGAGUAAUGUCUGGGAAACUGCCCGAUGGAGGGGGAUCACUACUGGAAACGGUCGCUAAUCCCGCAUACCAUCGGAUGUGCCCAGCUGGGAUUAGCUAGUAGGUGGGGUAAUGGCUCACCUAGGCGACGAUCCCUAGCUGGUCUGAGAGGAUGACCAGCCACACUGGAACUGAGACAAGGUCAAGACUCCUAGGGGAGGCAGCAGUGGGGAAUAUUGCACAAUGGGCGCAAGCCUGAUGCAGCCAUGCCGCGUGUAUGAAGAAGGCCUUCGGGUUGUAAAGUACUUUCAGCGAGGAGGCGUUACUCGCAGAAGAAGCACCGGCUAACUCCGUGCCAGCAGCCGCGGUAAUAC